AAGUAGUGUGUAAUAAAACUUGUAAU
Molecule: non-coding RNA, 26 nt
Filed under: Mus musculus (house mouse)
Lineage: Eukaryota; Metazoa; Chordata; Mammalia; Rodentia; Muridae
Source: RNAcentral